Molecule: long non-coding RNA, 274 nt
Filed under: Ursus maritimus (polar bear)
Lineage: Eukaryota; Metazoa; Chordata; Mammalia; Carnivora; Ursidae
Description: lncRNA (ENSUMAG00000023970.1)
Source: RNAcentral
GGACGGAAAUCAGAGUUAUAAACAUUAAGGACUAAGGAGAAGAACAACAAAGGACAUACGAAUUCAGAUUAAACAAUUUGAAAGAUACCACACUUCAAAACUUCUCAAAAGCAUUCCACCUGUCAGCCAAAACUUGUCUGGACAAACCUGUUAUUCUUCCUGAUGUAGCCAAAAAAAAAAAAAAAAAAAAAAAAAAAAAUCUUUUUUUUCAAUUCACACAACUUCGGAGGUCUCAUCAUCUGCAGUACCAAAUAAUGCCUACCACAUUUGUGAG